UACGUAGGGCGCAAGCGUUGUCCGGAAUCAUUGGGCGUAAAGAGCUCGUAGGCGGCCUGUUGCGUCCGCUGUGAAAUCCCGGGGCUUAACCCCGGGCGUGCAGUGGAUACGGGCUGGCUGGAGGCAGGCAGGGGAGAACGGAAUUCCCGGUGUAGCGGUGAAAUGCGCAGAUAUCGGGAGGUACACCGGUGGCGAAGGCGGUUCUCUGGGCCUGUACUGACGCUGAGGCGCGAAAGCGUGGGGAGCAAACAGG
This 253-nucleotide ribosomal RNA is filed under the name uncultured bacterium. RNAcentral's name for it is "partial 16S ribosomal RNA". It matches the Rfam family "Bacterial small subunit ribosomal RNA", at positions 524 to 776 of the family's 1533-position model. The record is from RNAcentral.